Octopus sinensis (East Asian common octopus) is the source of this 107-nucleotide long non-coding RNA. RefSeq lists it as uncharacterized. The record is from RefSeq and is a predicted model, not a curated record. NCBI's taxonomy places the organism in Eukaryota, Metazoa, Mollusca, Cephalopoda, Octopoda, Octopodidae. The transcript is spliced from 3 exons.
GCUUAGCUGGGCGUUCGCCGUCCGCCCGUCGCGUUCGCGUGGCGAGCGGCAGCGUCGUCGGCGGAAUUGCCAUUUGGGAAUGCCGGCGGCGAGAUGGGAAGAGCAUC